UGCUGGCAGUGAGACCCCCCCUCUCGGAGCACUGGGCCCUGCCCGGGGUAAGCCAGCG
Small nucleolar RNA from Camelus dromedarius (Arabian camel), 58 nucleotides. Lineage: Eukaryota; Metazoa; Chordata; Mammalia; Artiodactyla; Camelidae. The record is from Ensembl.